GCAUACUUAGCUCAAUGGUUAGAGUGUCCACCUAGUGUUUGGAGGUUGUGGGUUCAAAUCCUGCAGUGUGCA
Molecule: transfer RNA, 72 nt
Filed under: Cronartium ribicola 11-2
Lineage: Eukaryota; Fungi; Basidiomycota; Pucciniomycetes; Pucciniales; Coleosporiaceae
Description: tRNA-Thr (AGT) (tRNA-Thr-AGT-51-1)
Rfam family: tRNA
About the family: Transfer RNA (tRNA) molecules are approximately 80 nucleotides in length.
Source: RNAcentral